Musa acuminata subsp. malaccensis (wild Malaysian banana) is the source of this 547-nucleotide non-coding RNA. The record is from RefSeq and is a predicted model, not a curated record. Lineage: Eukaryota; Viridiplantae; Streptophyta; Magnoliopsida; Zingiberales; Musaceae.
CACCCCCUUCCCAUCAUCACUAUCUCCCCCACGCCUUAUGAUUGCUUCUUCUCCUUUCUCCCCUUUCAGGGCUCUGUUUCUUGGAUGUUGUUCGAUCCGUCUACCUCGCGACCGAGUCGCCUCGGCUCCCUAUUGGUACCAUCUCCUUCCGGUCCCUCCCGUCUAUGUACCGAUAUAUAGUUCUCAUGUUGGUUUUCGAUUUGCUCCUGCGAACGAGAUUGUUUGAUGCCAUCUUUCAGAUCCUCAUGGACCGCAACUCUCUUGAGCUAACCAUAGACAGUUAUCAUCUUAAUUUUAGUGUUUCCUUUGCAAUAGUGAUGCCUGUAUGGUAUUCUUGAUGUCAUGUAGCUGCACAGUGCUGCUAUGCUAGAUUCUACUUGAUGAAAUCGGACAAGCUUCGAAGGCCAUCUAGUGGAUUUGGGAAGCUUGUUCUUGUUAAAAAGGCAUGUUCACCAUUUAAUCUUGCAUUAGGUGGAGAGGGGACUGUAAGGGAUUCAUGCUAUUCGUUUGACUCUUCUGGUGAGAUACACUUCUCUAUUUGCAGAUA